Molecule: transfer RNA, 73 nt
Filed under: Sus scrofa (pig)
Lineage: Eukaryota; Metazoa; Chordata; Mammalia; Artiodactyla; Suidae
Rfam family: tRNA
About the family: Transfer RNA (tRNA) molecules are approximately 80 nucleotides in length.
Source: Rfam by way of RNAcentral
UCCCUGGUGGCCUCGUGAUUAAGGACAUGGUAUUUUCACUGCUGUGGCUCAGGUUCAAUUCCUGGCCUGGGAA